RNAcentral lists this unclassified non-coding RNA (234 nucleotides) under Hevea brasiliensis (rubber tree). The record is from RNAcentral. Lineage: Eukaryota; Viridiplantae; Streptophyta; Magnoliopsida; Malpighiales; Euphorbiaceae.
GGUGCUCGUCGCACCAAAGGCAGGAGUGCUAGUAGCUCCAAAUGCAGACUGGCUAGGGGCACCAAAAGGUGAUGAAGAACCAAAGACAUUGCUUCCGAAUGCUGGCUGAGAUUGCUGGUUUGUACUUCCAAAUGGAUUUGUUUGAGUAGGAGUAGAACCAAAGCCUCCAAACAGGGGCUUCUGCCCAAAAAUGGAAGAACCUCCAAAUGAUGAAGAUGAUGAACUACCAAAAGC